UACGGAGGGUGCAAGCGUUAUCCGGAUUCACUGGGUGUAAAGGGUGCGUAGGCGGGCAGGUAAGUCCGUGGUGAAAUCUCUGAGCUUAACUCAGAAACUGCCAUGGAUACUAUUUGUCUUGAAUAUUGUGGAGGUAAGCGGAAUAUGUCAUGUAGCGGUGAAAUGCUUAGAUAUGACAUAGAACACCAAUUGCGAAGGCAGCUUACUACACAGUUAUUGACGCUGAGGCACGAAAGCGUGGGGAGCAAACAGG
Molecule: ribosomal RNA, 253 nt
Filed under: uncultured bacterium
Lineage: Bacteria
Description: partial 16S ribosomal RNA
Rfam family: Bacterial small subunit ribosomal RNA
Source: RNAcentral